AGGGGAAUCCGGUGCGAAUCCGGAACUGUCCCGCAACGGUGUGAUGUGGCGUGCGACCUGGAGGCCC
This 67-nucleotide non-coding RNA is filed under the name Streptomyces sp. Lineage: Bacteria; Bacillati; Actinomycetota; Actinomycetes; Kitasatosporales; Streptomycetaceae. The record is from RNAcentral.